ACGCUCGACACCUACGGGAGGCGGCAGUGGGGAAUAUUGCACAAUGGGGGAAACCCUGAUGCAGCGACGCCGCGUGAAGGAAGAAGUAUCUCGGUAUGUAAACUUCUAUCAGCAGGGAAGAAAGUGACGGUACCUGACUAAGAAGCCCCGGCUAACUACGUGUCAGCAGCCGCGGUAAUCUGAGCGGGCUGGCAAGGC
This 198-nucleotide ribosomal RNA is filed under the name uncultured bacterium. Its description in RNAcentral is "partial 16S ribosomal RNA". It matches the Rfam family "Bacterial small subunit ribosomal RNA", at positions 328 to 539 of the family's 1533-position model. The record is from RNAcentral.